Molecule: non-coding RNA, 1630 nt
Organism: Arachis ipaensis
Lineage: Eukaryota; Viridiplantae; Streptophyta; Magnoliopsida; Fabales; Fabaceae
Source: RefSeq, a predicted model, not a curated record
CCCUUCUCUUCUUCUUUCUCUCUUUGGCUUUCCUUUUUUUUCUGUUCGGUGUGUUUUUUCUUUUUGUUUGGGUUCAAUGGGAAGAGACGAAUAGAAGAUCGUGCUGACGUGGCAAAUAAUUAGGUCGGUUACUUGGGUUCAGAUUCGAUCUAGACUGAAACAAUUUGAAUUUCUUUUGAAAAUGGAUCUGAGCCAUGUUUGGUCGUACCAUAUUUUUUAUUUUUGGGUAAUUAUUAAAUUAUUUAUUACUAUGAGCUGAUUUCAAAAUUGAAAUCAAGAUAAGUUGGUAUACACUUUUUUAUUAUUAUUUAUUUAUCUUUUGCUAAGCCGGUUGGCUGGAUCGUGAUCUUGUGUCAAAUAUUUGUUAAUCUUUUAAAAAAAUAAAAGAUAAGUUUUUCAGUAAUUCUGUUAGAUUCAAUUUGUGGAGAGUUGGAACCAAAGAGUUAUUUUAUUUCUUUAUUUAUAUUUGCGAAACUGGAAAUGUUGUAAGGCGAUCUAAAACAUCCUUGUCUUACUCUUAUGUCAUUAUUAACUUAUUAAAAAAAAGGGAACUGAGGCUAAAGUAAUCUGGUUUGUUUAUUUAACUGAAUUUAACUAAGUUAGGUCAGCAAUUCAAUUGAUUAUUAUUACGAAAGAUGACAUAGGCAUGUCGUGGUUGAAUCACGGUGUAUUAGAAAAAAAGUGAAAAUAUUUUCUGUUAGACUCCGAUAAUUGUCUUGCUGAAUAGAUUUUGUUGCAUUUGUUUCUUACAAUGGCAAAUGCACAUGUCAUACUUCUUUAUAAUGGGAUUUUUCCUUCUUUAGAAAAGUUUGCAUUGUUCUGCAUCUGUGUAAAUUUGAUGGAUUUUGCAAGGUGGAAGUAUUUGUGAAGUUACUCGAAUGUUCUUUGAGUAAUGAGAGUAAAAAAAUUAAGUGUGUGUGCUCUAGAGUGAAAGCACACCGUAGAUACUGUUGUUAUACGCUUAAUAUAGGAACUAGGAAGUUUUGGAGAAAUGUAACUUCGGGUUUUUGCUUAGUGGUGUGGACUGAACCCGAACUUCUUGGUUCCAUGGUUCUUCUAGGUGAGAAUACAGGUAUAUUAGCAGCCAAACUCUUUGUGGAAGAUGUUCUCAAUCAUGGCAGUCAUAUUCUAGAUUCAAGAAAUUCCUGGAUAGUGUAUCAGCGGGAAAUAUGAUAUUGCAACUGUAACUCUGAAAUCACAUAGCUGUAAGAAUGUGUUGCACACAUCAUUACCGUAUUUUGGACAUGGCUCUUUGACUACUAUUAUUCAUUUAUUCUUACCCAUAUCACUUAAAUAGUUAAAUUAAUAAUUAAAUUACUCUUAUAUACUGCUUAUUAGUUAUUACCUUGUAAAAAAAGAGGUAAUCAGAAAACCUUAAUUGUGAGAGAUACUUGUUAGAAGGGUAUGAUGGUAUGUACAAUUUUUCAGAAGUAGAAAUCCAGGAUAUGUUGCAUUUGGACUCUAGUCUUUUGUUUAGAGUAAUUGUGAAAUUAGUUUCCAACUUAAAAAUGUUGGGUGUGACAUUGCUUCUUGGUUGCAAUCUUGUUCAUGUCUUGUAGCCAAUGACAUGACUAUGCUUAUUUUGUCAUUUACCAUCAUAAUUAACACAAGUUUGCAUUAUUGCAUAAAA